This 1020-nucleotide long non-coding RNA is filed under the name Equus asinus (donkey). RNAcentral's name for it is "lncRNA (ENSEASG00005030676.1)". The record is from RNAcentral. Lineage: Eukaryota; Metazoa; Chordata; Mammalia; Perissodactyla; Equidae.
GUAUGAGUGCUUCUAAUUUCCAUUUACAGGACAGUCCAUGCCCUUCCUCAGGAGAUUCCAUCCCUUACUUCAUUCAUUCCUUCCGUCAGCCCCGAGUGUCAGCUGUCUGCUGGGGAUUUGCUGAGGCCCAGGGGCAGACAGAUAGGCAAGCGACUGCCCUGCUCCCAAUUAAGAAACUCCCAGCCUACUGGGAGAGCUACCCCGCCCACCCGUAGAGCCACUCUAGGAGGGAAGAUGGCUAAGUGUCACCAGGGAGGAACAGAAGUGCUGUGGAGCCCGAGGAGGGGAGGGAGAGGUGGCUUUUUAAAUAGUUGUGGGUCAGGAAGCUUUAUGGAGGAAAUGGCAUUCAAGGGCCUGGAAGGAUGGGUAGGAUUUGGGCAUGAGGAAACAGAAGGAAGUGACAUAUCAACCAGUGAGGAAACAGAGCAGAGUCGUGAAGUUUGAAAUCUCAGGCAAGCACUGGACAAAGGCCAAUGAAUCCAUGGAUGAUCACACCACUAAUGGAAUAACUCAUUACUGCUAAGAGAUGCUGGAAGAUUUCUUACAGAAGGUGUAUGUGGAACUAUUUGGAUGGAAAGAACUGGGUGUGGUACCCAGCAGAAGGCACAGUGCUCCUGGUGGUUUUAUGGGUCUCAGGCUCUGGAUCUGCGCUGGGUUCUGACCUUGCUUCUGCUUCUGUGAGUCUCUGCCUUUCCCACUGCCUACCGGUCUUAGAAGACUGAAGUCCCUUUUCUUCCCGGACUCACUCUGGAGCUUGCAUACCUCCUAAAUAGAUGGCAUGCACUGCUUUUUCUCUUCCUUAAGCUCAGUUUCUUAAGCAUAUGCAAAAGACAUAUAUUUGAAUCUCUUUUAUACUAAUCUAAGCUGUUCAGGGUUUGGUCACAUGCCAACCAAACCAGAGCUAUUUUGUGGAUGUUUUUCUAAUUGCAUUCAACUUCACAAUUUACCUGAGAAAAUUACAGCAUUUCUAUCACCAGUUUUUAUCCAUAUUCAAUCUUCAAUCAUCCCUCUGUGGAAAAG